RNAcentral lists this ribosomal RNA (505 nucleotides) under uncultured bacterium. Its description in RNAcentral is "partial 16S ribosomal RNA". It matches the Rfam family "Bacterial small subunit ribosomal RNA", at positions 28 to 507 of the family's 1533-position model. The record is from RNAcentral.
GACGAACGCUGGCGGCGUGCCUAAUACAUGCAAGUAGAACGCACAGUUUAUACCGUAGCUUGCUACACCAUAGACUGUGAGUUGCGAACGGGUGAGUAACGCGUAGGUAACCUGCCUGGUAGCGGGGGAUAACUAUUGGAAACGAUAGCUAAUACCGCAUAAUAUUGAUUAUUGCAUGAUAAUUGAUUGAAAGCUGCUAUUGCAUCACUACCAGAUGGACCUGCGUUGUAUUAGCUAGUAGGUGAGGUAACGGCUCACCUAGGCGACGAUACAUAGCCGAACUGAGAGGGUGAUCGGCCAAACUGGGAAUGAGAAAAGGCACAGAAUCCUACGGGAGGCAGCAGUAGGGAAUCGUCGGCAAUGGACGAAAGUCAGACCGAGCAACGCCGCGUGAGUGAAGAAGGUUUUCGGAUCGUAAAGCUCUGUUGUAAGAGAAGAAAGGGUGUGAGAGUGGAAAGUUCACACUGUGACGGUAUCUUAACAGAAAGGGACGGCUAACUACGUG